UAAAUUGAGAGUUUGAUCCUGGCUCAGGAUGAACGCUGGCGGCGUGCUUAACACAUGCAAGUCGAGCGAUGAAGUUUCCUUCGGGAAACGGAUUAGCGGCGGACGGGUGAGUAACACGUGGGUAACCUGCCUCAUAGAGUGGAAUAGCCUUCCGAAAGGAAGAUUAAUACCGCAUAACGUUGAAAGAUGGCAUCAUCAUUCAACCAAAGGAG
Molecule: ribosomal RNA, 212 nt
Filed under: Clostridium perfringens
Lineage: Bacteria; Bacillati; Bacillota; Clostridia; Eubacteriales; Clostridiaceae
Description: partial 16S ribosomal RNA
Rfam family: Bacterial small subunit ribosomal RNA
Source: RNAcentral